RNAcentral lists this ribosomal RNA (271 nucleotides) under uncultured archaeon. RNAcentral's name for it is "partial 16S ribosomal RNA". It matches the Rfam family "Archaeal small subunit ribosomal RNA", at positions 477 to 747 of the family's 1478-position model. The record is from RNAcentral.
CAGCGCUGCAAGUGGGAAUCACGAUUAUUGGGCCUAAAGCGUCCGUAGCCGCUUCAAUAAAUUUUUUGUGAAAUUGGUGAACUAAAUUCAUCAACGUGCAGGAAAAACUGUUGAACUUGAGACCGGGAGGGGUUGGGAGUAUUCCAGGGGGAGCGGUAAAAUGCUAUAAUCCCUAGAGGACUACCUGUGGCGAAGGCGUCUGACUAGAACGGAUCUGACGGUGAGGGACGAAAGCUAGGGGAGCAAUCCGGAUUAGAGACCCGAGUAGUCC